UUGCGUUCUGGGAUGUUUUUCAGCCUGAUGGUAUUACAAACCAAAAACCUCUUUUCUGAAGAAUACUAUGAAGAUGCACAAAUGGAAAUGUAUGAAGCCAGCAUAGGAAGAAGAGAGGAUAAAAAGUUGUUCCCUUCUAGUGCAGGAAGACGAUCUUCAUACAGAGAGGUAGUUAUUUCAAAGCUGGUUUCCCAGCAUUUCCAUGCUUGGUGGGAGGUGGGCAUAAACAAACCCAAACCCAAAGUGACUUAGGCACAAUCACAAACAGAGCUCAAAGAGACGUGAGUCUGCUUGCAAACUUGAAUAUAAACAAUCUAACUUUACAGUGAAAGUUUCUAGAGGAGCAAUUCCAGUUCGUAGCAAUCAGGUGUCCACAAUGCCAGCAGCAUGCAGAGUUUUUUUUGGUGUUACUGUCUUCCACAAGAUGUCUGUACAGUCGUUCCUAGAGGUGUGCUGUCCUGUGCUACCCUGUGCUUUACAGACAGAGCGGUGAGUGUGCAGAGACGGUUCUGUAGUGCAGCCUCCAUUCGUUGAACCGUGCCCCAAGGGUCUCUGCCAGGCCCCAUCCCUUAUAACUGAUAACGUUUGAUCCUGCCUCUAAAAGUGUGCAGAGGAAACCCAGUGGGAGAACAAACAACUAAGCAAAUUUCCCUCUUUUGAGGCAGGGCUGGCAGGAGGCUUGGUUCUCCUUGUUAGCUUUCUGGGGGUGCGGGAGGAAGGACUGCUUCAGCAGGGGAAUAUCAGAGCUGGCUUGUCUCAUGAUGUUUACACGUCCUUUCAGAUGUCACUGUAAGUGCUCCUGCUCUUAGCUGGGAGAAGUGAAGGCCUGUCAGGGAACGAAAAUGGCUUCUGAUGUUCCUGGAUAACUGUUUUAUUAGCUGC
Molecule: long non-coding RNA, 882 nt
Filed under: Gallus gallus (chicken)
Lineage: Eukaryota; Metazoa; Chordata; Aves; Galliformes; Phasianidae
Description: long non-coding RNA NONGGAT002406
Source: RNAcentral